Molecule: ribosomal RNA, 1367 nt
Filed under: uncultured bacterium
Lineage: Bacteria
Description: bacterial SSU rRNA
Rfam family: Bacterial small subunit ribosomal RNA
Source: RNAcentral
GAGUUUGAUCCUGGCUCAGGACGAACGCUGGCGGCGCGCCUAACACAUGCAAGUCGAACGAGCGAGAGAGAGCUUGCUUUCUCGAGCGAGUGGCGAACGGGUGAGUAACGCGUGAGGAACCUGCCUCAAAGAGGGGGACAACAGUUGGAAACGACUGCUAAUACCGCAUAAGCCCACAGCUCGGCAUCGAGCAGAGGGAAAAGGAGCAAUCCGCUUUGAGAUGGCCUCGCGUCCGAUUAGCUAGUUGGUGAGGUAAUGGCCCACCAAGGCGACGAUCGGUAGCCGGACUGAGAGGUUGAACGGCCACAUUGGGACUGAGACACGGCCCAGACUCCUACGGGAGGCAGCAGUGGGGAAUAUUGCACAAUGGGGGAAACCCUGAUGCAGCGACGCCGCGUGGAGGAAGAAGGUCUUCGGAUUGUAAACUCCUGUUGUUGAGGAAGAUAAUGACGGUACUCAACAAGGAAGUGACGGCUAACUACGUGCCAGCAGCCGCGGUAAAACGUAGGUCACAAGCGUUGUCCGGAAUUACUGGGUGUAAAGGGAGCGCAGGCGGGAAGACAAGUUGGAAGUGAAAUCUAUGGGCUCAACCCAUAAACUGCUUUCAAAACUGUUUUUCUUGAGUAGUGCAGAGGUAGGCGGAAUUCCCGGUGUAGCGGUGGAAUGCGUAGAUAUCGGGAGGAACACCAGUGGCGAAGGCGGCCUACUGGGCACCAACUGACGCUGAGGCUCGAAAGUGUGGGUAGCAAACAGGAUUAGAUACCUGGUAGUCCACACCGUAAACGAUGAUUACUAGGUGUUGGAGGAUUGACCCCUUCAGUGCCGCAGUUAACACAAUAAGUAAUCCACCUGGGGAGUACGACCGCAAGGUUGAAACUCAAAGGAAUUGACGGGGGCCCGCACAAGCAGUGGAGUAUGUGGUUUAAUUCGACGCAACGCGAAGAACCUUACCAAGUCUUGACAUCCCUUGACGAACAUAGAAAUAUGUUUUCUCUUCGGAGCAAGGAGACAGGUGGUGCAUGGUUGUCGUCAGCUCGUGUCGUGAGAUGUUGGGUUAAGUCCCGCAACGAGCGCAACCCUUACUGUCAGUUACUACGCAAGAGGACUCUGGCAGGACUGCCGUUGACAAAACGGAGGAAGGUGGGGAUGACGUCAAAUCAUCAUGCCCUUUAUGACUUGGGCUACACACGUACUACAAUGGCGUUAAACAAAGAGAAGCAAGACCGCGAGGUGGAGCAAAACUCAGAAACAACGUCCCAGUUCGGACUGCAGGCUGCAACUCGCCUGCACGAAGUCGGAAUUGCUAGUAAUCGUGGAUCAGCAUGCCACGGUGAAUACGUUCCCGGGCCUUGUACACACCGCCCGUC